RNAcentral lists this ribosomal RNA (433 nucleotides) under uncultured bacterium. RNAcentral's name for it is "partial 16S ribosomal RNA". It matches the Rfam family "Bacterial small subunit ribosomal RNA", at positions 29 to 507 of the family's 1533-position model. The record is from RNAcentral.
AACGAACGCUGGCGGCAGGCCUAACACAUGCAAGUCGAGCGAGGACUUCGGUUCUAGCGGCGGACGGGUGAGUAGCGCGUGGGAAUGUGCCCUUCUCUACGGAAUAGCCCUGGGAAACUGGGAGUAAUACCGUAUACGCCCUAUUGGGGAAAGAUUUAUCGGAGAAGGAUCAGCCCGCGUUGGAUUAGGUAGUUGGUGGGGUAAUGGCCUACCAAGCCGACGAUCCAUAGCUGGUUUGAGAGGAUGAUCAGCCACACUGGGACUGAGACACGGCCCAGACUCCUACGGGAGGCAGCAGUGGGGAAUCUUAGACAAUGGGGGCAACCCUGAUCUAGCCAUGCCGCGUGAGUGAUGAAGGCCUUAGGGUUGUAAAGCUCUUUCAGCUGGGAAGAUAAUGACGGUACCAGCAGAAGAAGCCCCGGCUAACUCCGUG